CAGAACAUUAACAAGAAGCCCCGGAUAGACAAAAAAACCCAAUUAUGUCAUUUUGUGUCAAUUGUCAGCUCUCUAAUGUUUGUUGAAUUACAGUAUUUGUUCCCGACGGCUGCUAUGAGGAUGUGUGGUGGCUAGCAGCUAUGAGAUGUUAACAGAUUUGGUGAAAAGUGAGUAAACGCUGAACACUUUGGCGUUAAUGUGCCCUGACGUUAGCUUGUCUGCUGUUAAGUUAGCAGGGUGGCGAUGAAGCUACACGUUUAGUUUCGGGUUAUUUGUGUGAACUCUCUUGCUCUGCUUAGCCAGCGUUUAGCCUUGCUAACACAUUAGCAGUGCUCGUCUUGUUUUGUAUCGGUCGUGAAUUAGCGACGGAAUAUGUCGCAACAUAACUCUCUGUUCGCUUUUGGACGGUUGUGUUAGCUUUAGCUCGGAAGCGAUAAGUUAGCCCGUUAGCUAAAAAAUAUAUAUGUGUGUGUGUGUGUGUGUGUGUGCUCCCACAGGACUGACAACACAAUGCGAAGGCGAGAUGCUGCUCUCUGAUUGGUCCGCCUGUUACCAUCCGGAACAUGGUAGAAGGCGGAGCUUCACACACAGCUGAUCGAGGAACAACAAGCGUGCUGUACGGGGCACAUGCAGGGAUGAGGCGGGGGUGAGGAGGAGGAGGUGGGCUGGGAACAUCCAGUCCACGGCAGGGACAGGACAGGACAGGGGCUGCAGGCUGAGGAGGUGGACGACUUGUGUCCACGUUGCUUCUGGAGAGCAAACAGACAGCUGCUGAUGAAACUGUUUGUUGGUUUGCGGAUCAAUACAAGAUUCAUCAGCAACAGUUCUGAGAAUCUUUGCUGUCAUUUGCUUUAUUUUCUUUAGGGUCACACAGAACAACAAUUUUAAGAUGUGCAAUUAAACAAACGUUAAUGAGAGAGUAACUGAUGUGUAAAUCAA
This is a long non-coding RNA of Acanthopagrus latus (yellowfin seabream), 939 nucleotides long. RefSeq lists it as uncharacterized. The record is from RefSeq and is a predicted model, not a curated record. The transcript is spliced from 2 exons. Lineage: Eukaryota; Metazoa; Chordata; Actinopteri; Spariformes; Sparidae.